GAUGAAGAACGUAGCGAAAUGCGAUAAGUAAUGUGAAUUGCAGAAUUCAGUGAAUCAUCGAAUCUUUGAACGCACAUUGCGCCUUCUGGUAUUCCGGGGGGCAUGCCUGUUCGAGCGUCAUUAUAACCACUCAAGCUCUCGCUUGGUAUUGGGGUUCGCGGUUCCGCGGCCCCUAAAAUCAGUGGCGGUGCCUGUCGGCUCUACGCGUAGUAAUACUCCUCGCGAUUGAGUCCGGUAGGUCUACUUGCCAGCAACCCCCAAUUUUUACAGGUUGACCUCGGAUCAGGUAGGGAUACCCGCUGAACUUAAGCAUAUCAAUAAGCGGAGGA
RNAcentral lists this unclassified non-coding RNA (329 nucleotides) under soil metagenome. Its description in RNAcentral is "partial contains 5.8S ribosomal RNA, internal transcribed spacer 2, and large subunit ribosomal RNA". The stretch from base 1 to 120 matches the Rfam family "5.8S ribosomal RNA", at positions 35 to 154 of the family's 154-position model. The record is from RNAcentral.